RNAcentral lists this ribosomal RNA (467 nucleotides) under uncultured bacterium. RNAcentral describes it as "partial 16S ribosomal RNA". It matches the Rfam family "Bacterial small subunit ribosomal RNA", at positions 28 to 506 of the family's 1533-position model. The record is from RNAcentral.
GACGAACGCUGGCGGCGUGCUUAACACAUGCAAGUCGAACGGAAAGGCCCUGCUUUUGUGGGGUGCUCGAGUGGCGAACGGGUGAGUAACACGUGAGUAACCUGCCCUUGACUUUGGGAUAACUUCAGGAAACUGGGGCUAAUACCGGAUAGGAGCUCCUGCUGCAUGGUGGGGGUUGGAAAGUUUCGGCGGUUGGGGAUGGACUCGCGGCUUACCAGCUUGUUGGUGGGGUAGUGGAUUACCAAGGCAUGGACGGGUAGCCGGCCUGAGAGGGUGACCGGCCACAUUGGGACUGAGAUACGGCCCAGACUCCUACGGGAGGCAGCAGUGGGGAAUAUUGCACAAUGGGCGGAGGCCUGAUGCAGCAACGCCGCGUGCGGGAUGACGGCCUUCGGGUUGUAAACCGCUUUCGCCUGUGACGAAGCGUGAGUGACGGUAAUGGGUAAAGAAGCACCGGCUAACUACGU